AGAGUUUGAUCCUGGCUCAGAGCGAACGCUGGCGGCAUGCUUAAUACAUGCAAGUCGCACGGGCAGGGGCAACUCUGUCAGUGGCGGACGGGUGAGUAACGCGUAGGUAUCUAUCCUGAGGUGGGGGACAACCGUGGGAAACUACGGCUAAUACCGCAUGAUGCCCGAGGGCCAAAGGCGCAAGUCGCCUUGGGAGGAGC
This 200-nucleotide ribosomal RNA is filed under the name uncultured bacterium. RNAcentral describes it as "partial 16S ribosomal RNA". It matches the Rfam family "Bacterial small subunit ribosomal RNA", at positions 8 to 230 of the family's 1533-position model. The record is from RNAcentral.